ACAGCAGUAGCCGCGGGAAUACGGAGGGUGCAAGCGUUAAUCGGAAUUACUGGGCGUAAAGCGCACGCAGGCGGUCUGACAAGUCAGAUGUGAAAUCCCCGGGCUUAACCUGGGAACUGCAUUUGAAACUGUCAGGCUGGAGUCUUGUAGAGGGGGGUGGAAUUCCAGGUGUAGCGGUAAAAUGCGUAGAGAUCUGGAGGAAUACCGGUGGCGAAGGCGGCCCCCUGGACAAAGACUGACGCUCAGGUGCGAAAGCGUGGGGAGCAAACAGGAUUAGAUACCCCUGUAGUCCCUGUCUCUUAUAC
This 305-nucleotide ribosomal RNA is filed under the name uncultured bacterium. RNAcentral's name for it is "partial 16S ribosomal RNA". It matches the Rfam family "Bacterial small subunit ribosomal RNA", at positions 508 to 807 of the family's 1533-position model. The record is from RNAcentral.